Molecule: long non-coding RNA, 968 nt
Organism: Onychostoma macrolepis
Lineage: Eukaryota; Metazoa; Chordata; Actinopteri; Cypriniformes; Cyprinidae
Exons: 7
Source: RefSeq, a predicted model, not a curated record
UUGUUCCUCACGAUACAUGUGUAAAUAUGUGUACGAAAAAAUAAAUUCCUAUGCCCUAGAUUUUAAUGAAUGUUUUUUUAAUGUUGUUUCUACACCACGUUUACCAUUUCUAAAGCUAUUAUAUUAUUAUAUUAUUUACGUAAAAUUCUGCGUGACUUCUACGUGCUUUAAUGGACGAGCGCGCGCUGAACUGGAGUGGAGGAAGUCACCAUGGAAACGGGGCGGCAGCUCAACUGUCAAGCAGCAACUUCGUCUUUCACUGUUGUUUUUACUAAUUUCAGAAAUGGUUUAGUGUCUUCGGAAAAAGUCCGUUAGCAUCUCAACCGUGAGCUAACUAUAAGAGAAGCGUCAGAAAAAACCCUCUAUUACACAGAAGUUCCUGAUUUUAACAUUUCUGAAGGGAGCUGCUGACAGAGAAAUACACAUCACAGAUUCUUCCAUGCUGACGGCCGUGCACAAGAGUUAGAGCGUAUCUCCUGUCGAAGAACAUCUCUAGACAUUAUGAACCAUCUGUCUAAGACUGAAAAUCAUCAAUAAACCAAAAGUUUGGUUUAGCUCCAACCCCAAUUAAGCAGACCUGAGCAGCUGAUCAAGGAUCACCAGAAACUCUGCAGAAGGUUGGUCCUCCAUGCCCAGGACUGGACACCAGUGUUAUGCUGGUGAAAAAACCGCCAGGCUAAAGCAUUCAAAGUGGAAACUUCUGUUGUGGCUCAAUAAUCCAGGAUUGUGAUGGUGGAAGGAGCAGAAGAACAGAGAUCAGGCAGAGAUCUACUGGUGCGUCUGAGGAAACAGAUCUACCUCAUGUCUUAGUUAAACCAAAGAUUCUCAUCACUCACCUCCAUGCCGUUCCGAACCUGUAAGACUUUUGUUCAUCUUUGAAACAUAAAUGUAUAUCUUUUUAAUGAAAUCUGAGAAAUUUCUGCCCCUCCAUUUUACAGUUUAUGCAACUACCACUUUCAAGCCUCAGA